Molecule: ribosomal RNA, 497 nt
Filed under: uncultured bacterium
Lineage: Bacteria
Description: partial 16S ribosomal RNA
Rfam family: Bacterial small subunit ribosomal RNA
Source: RNAcentral
GAUGAACGCUGGCGGCGUGCCUAAUACAUGCAAGUAGAACGCUGAAGGAAGGGGCUUGCUCUUUCCGGAUGAGUUGCGAACGGGUGAGUAACGCGUAGGUAACCUGCCUGGUAGCGGGGGAUAACUAUUGGAAACGAUAGCUAAUACCGCAUAACAGUAGAUGUUGCAUGAUAUCUACUUAAAAGGUGCAAUUGCACCACUACCAGAUGGACCUGCGUUGUAUUAGCUAGUUGGUGAGGUAACGGCUCACCAAGGCGACGAUACAUAGCCGACCUGAGAGGGUGAUCGGCCACACUGGGACUGAGACACGGCCCAGACUCCUACGGGAGGCAGCAGUAGGGAAUCUUCGGCAAUGGACGGAAGUCUGACCGAGCAACGCCGCGUGAGUGAAGAAGGUUUUCGGAUCGUAAAGCUCUGUUGUAAGAGAAGAACGAGUGUGAGAGUGGAAAGUUCACACUGUGACGGUAUCUUACCAGAAAGGGACGGCUAACUACGUG